Molecule: ribosomal RNA, 500 nt
Filed under: uncultured bacterium
Lineage: Bacteria
Description: partial 16S ribosomal RNA
Rfam family: Bacterial small subunit ribosomal RNA
Source: RNAcentral
GACGAACGCUGGCGGCGUGCUUAACACAUGCAAGUCGAACGGGCCUGUCUUCUUUUUUGGGGGGUGGGUUGAGUGGCGAACGGGUGAGUAUCACGUGAGUAACCUGCCCUUCGGUCCUGGAUAACCGCUUGAAAGGGCGGCUAAUACGGGGUGGUCCGGUUGGUCCGCAUGGGCUGGUCGGGAUAGAUUCACUGUUCUUGGUGUUUCGGCGGGGGAUGGGCUCGCGGCCUAUCAGCUUGUUGGUGGGGUGAUGGCCUACCAAGGCGGUGACGGGUAGCCGGCCUGAGAGGGUGGGCGGCCACACUGGGACUGAGAUACGGCCCAGACUCCUGCGGGAGGCAGCAGUGGGGGGUAUUGCACAAUGGGCGGAAGCCUGAUGCAGCGACGUCGCGUGAGGGAUGGAGGCCUUCGGGUUGUGAACCUCUGUUUCCGGUGGUGAAGGCCCUGUCCGUGUGGUGGGGUUGACGGUAGCCGGGGAUGAAGCGCCGGCUAACUACGUG